RNAcentral lists this unclassified non-coding RNA (336 nucleotides) under soil metagenome. Its description in RNAcentral is "partial contains 5.8S ribosomal RNA, internal transcribed spacer 2, and large subunit ribosomal RNA". The stretch from base 1 to 120 matches the Rfam family "5.8S ribosomal RNA", at positions 35 to 154 of the family's 154-position model. The record is from RNAcentral.
GAUGAAGAACGUAGUGAAAUGCGAUAAGUAGUGUGAAUUGCAGAAUUCAGUGAAUCAUCGAAUCUUUGAACGCACAUUGCGCCCCUUGGUAUUCCAUGGGGCAUGCCUGUUCGAGCGUCAUUUGUACCUUCAAGCUCUGCUUGGUGUUGGGUGUUUGUCUCGCCUCUGCGUGUAGACUCGCCUCAAAACAAUUGGCAGCCGGCGUAUUGAUUUCGGAGCGCAGUACAUCUCGCGCUUUGCACUCAUAACGACGACGUCCAAAAGUACAUUUUUACACUCUUGACCUCGGAUCAGGUAGGGAUACCCGCUGAACUUAAGCAUAUCAAUAACGGAGGA